This 429-nucleotide ribosomal RNA is filed under the name Actinomycetes bacterium. RNAcentral's name for it is "Actinobacteria bacterium partial 16S ribosomal RNA". It matches the Rfam family "Bacterial small subunit ribosomal RNA", at positions 355 to 776 of the family's 1533-position model. RNAcentral also lists the same sequence under 1 other name. The record is from RNAcentral. Lineage: Bacteria; Bacillati; Actinomycetota; Actinomycetes.
UAGGGAAUCUUCCGCAAUGGGCGAAAGCCUGACGGAGCAACGCCGCGUGAGUGAUGAAGGUCUUCGGAUCGUAAAACUCUGUUAUUAGGGAAGAACAAAUGUGUAAGUAACUAUGCACGUCUUGACGGUACCUAAUCAGAAAGCCACGGCUAACUACGUGCCAGCAGCCGCGGUAAUACGUGGGUGGCAAGCGUUAUCCGGAAUUAUUGGGCGUAAAGCGCGCGUAGGCGGUUUUUUAAGUCUGAUGUGAAAGCCCACGGCUCAACCGUGGAGGGUCAUUGGAAACUGGAAAACUUGAGUGCAGAAGAGGAAAGUGGAAUUCCAUGUGUAGCGGUGAAAUGCGCAGAGAUAUGGAGGAACACCAGUGGCGAAGGCGACUUUCUGGUCUGUAACUGACGCUGAUGUGCGAAAGCGUGGGGAUCAAACAGG